This 253-nucleotide ribosomal RNA is filed under the name uncultured bacterium. Its description in RNAcentral is "partial 16S ribosomal RNA". It matches the Rfam family "Bacterial small subunit ribosomal RNA", at positions 524 to 776 of the family's 1533-position model. The record is from RNAcentral.
UACGUAGGGACCGAGCGUUGUCCGGAAUCAUUGGGCGUAAAGAGCGUGUAGGCGGCCAAUUAAGUCCUGCGUGAAAUCUCGGGGCUCAACCCCGAGCGGUCGUGGGAAACUGGUUGGCUAGAGUGCGGGAGAGGAGAGUGGAAUUCCUGGUGUAGCGGUGAAAUGCGCAGAUAUCAGGAAGAACACCCGUGGCGAAGGCGGCUCCCUGGACAAUUGCUGACACUCAGGCACGAAAGCGUGGGGAGCAAAAGGG